This 642-nucleotide ribosomal RNA is filed under the name Triticum aestivum (bread wheat). Its description in RNAcentral is "partial small subunit ribosomal RNA". Lineage: Eukaryota; Viridiplantae; Streptophyta; Magnoliopsida; Poales; Poaceae. The record is from RNAcentral.
AUGCAGGCCCGAGGAUACCCGCCUGAAAGUAACGCUCAUGGCUCUGGAGAUGAAGGAAAAACACAAAAUGACCGACGCAUGCUUCGACGAGCACAUGUCAUUCUGGCACGAAUGUCUUCCCAAGGGAACAAGUGCCUGACCAGUUUCGAGGAGGCGAAGAAAAUCGUCUGUCCUCUGGAUUUACCGCACAUGAAGUACCAUGUGUGCAUGAACAAUUGCAACAUUUAUCGGGACGAGCACGCGGAGUCUACCAUAUGUCCGGUGUGCGGUGUCACUCGAUACAAGAAGAGGAAGGAAGCUCCUCGAAAAGUGGUGUGGUACUUUCCGAUCACUCCUCAUCUGCAGCGGUAUUUCGCGGACCCUAAGCUAGCAAAGCUCAUGCGUUGGCACGCGGAUGGGGAGGAGAAGAAGCGAGAAGAUUACGGAAAUGAUCCGAAGAUAAAUAAAAAAGACAAGAUGCUGAGUCACCCUAAUGAUGCGAGCCAGUGGCAAGCGUUGAACUUCGAACACCCAGAAUUUGGGAAUGAUCCAAGGAACAUCAUGCUGGGCGCGAGCACCGAUGGAGUCAAUCCGUUUGGCAGCCAGAGAAGCACACAUAGCACCUGCCCUGUGUUUGUGUGGAUGUACAACCUUCCCCCCUAG